This 468-nucleotide ribosomal RNA is filed under the name uncultured bacterium. RNAcentral's name for it is "partial 16S ribosomal RNA". It matches the Rfam family "Bacterial small subunit ribosomal RNA", at positions 28 to 507 of the family's 1533-position model. The record is from RNAcentral.
GACGAACGCUGGCGGCGUGCUUAACACAUGCAAGUCGAACGGCAACGCCCUGCUUUUGUGCGCUGCUCGAGUGGCGAACGGGUGAGUAACCCGUGUGUAACCUGCCCUUCACUUUGGGAUUACUUCAUGAAACUGGUGCUAAUUCCCGCUAGGUAUUCCUGCUGCAUGGUGGGGGUUGGAUUGUUUCGCCGGUUGGGGUUGGUCGCGAGGCUUAUCAGCUUGUUGGUUGGGUAGUGGCUUACCAAGGCUUUGACCGGUAGCCGGCCUGAGAGGGUUACCGGACACAUCGGGACUGAGAUGCGGCACAGACUCGAACGGGAGGCAGGAGAGGAGAAUAGUGCAUAAUGGGAGGAAGGCAGAUGCAGUAAAGCAGCGUGGGGGAUGAGGGGAAGGGGUUUGUAAAGCGAAUUCGCCUGAGACGAAGCGAGAGUGACGGUAAUGGGUAAAGAAGCACCGGCUAACUACGUG